Molecule: microRNA precursor, 119 nt
Filed under: Marmota monax (woodchuck)
Lineage: Eukaryota; Metazoa; Chordata; Mammalia; Rodentia; Sciuridae
Source: RNAcentral
UAGGGUGACCAACCCAUCCCAAAUUGCCCGAGACUUUUGUGGCUUUAGAAUUAAUGUCCCACAUCAUAGGAAAUCCCUCAGCUCUGGGCAAAUGGGACAGUUGGUCACCCUGAAGCAGA